GAAGUGCGAAUGCUGACAUAAGUAACGAUAAAGCGGGUGAAAAGCCCGCUCGCCGGAAGACCAAGGGUUCCUGUCCAACGUUAAUCGGGGCAGGGUGAGUCGACCCCUAAGGCGAGGCCGAAAGGCGUAGUCGAUGGGAAACGGGUUAAUAUUCCCGUACUUGGUGUUACUGCGAAGGGGGGACGGAGAAGGCUAUGUUGGCCGGGCGACGGUUGUCCCGGUUUAAGCGUGUAGGUGUGUGUUCCAGGUAAAUCCGGUU
Molecule: ribosomal RNA, 259 nt
Filed under: Salmonella enterica subsp. enterica serovar Muenchen
Lineage: Bacteria; Pseudomonadati; Pseudomonadota; Gammaproteobacteria; Enterobacterales; Enterobacteriaceae
Also listed under: 2 other names
Description: partial 23S ribosomal RNA
Rfam family: Bacterial large subunit ribosomal RNA
Source: RNAcentral